CACCGCAGGCAGGAAGGGAAAAACGUCAAAGAUAGCUUACAAAAAAAAGAUGAUCACUCCUCGCACCUUUCGCGCACCGGAGUCACAACUGCUUCUCUUAAAGGAGCAGUAACAUAGCGUCAAUACAGCUAAGGACAAAAAGUAAAUAAAUAAAUAAAUAACCAGGGCCUUAUAAACCCGGGUUACACAACUAUCCACAUGCACACACAAUCUUAGUGUUUUUCAUUCUGCUGUCCUGUGGAUCUCUGCUCUACGUCCUCGCUACGUCUCUCUCGCUCAACAUCUACUCUCUGCACGCGCUCAACUCUGCCUUCACGCUCGCUCGACUCUGCACGGCGUUACAAACGUGCCACAAAACCAGCCAAUCACAGACUUCUGACUCUAUCCAAUCGGGUCCCUGUUUUGGCCGCCUCUCAGAAGCGCUGUUAAAAAUGAUCGCUAAAUCAACUGGAGUUCUGCUAUAUACGCUGGACUGCGACAGAUUUUCAGUGAGUAUUGUUUUAUUAUUGAAUUACAUUAAAUAAAGCACUAUUUUGUUUAGUGUGUUAAAGUACAGCUGUAAUGUUUUGGUACGGUUUUGCAGAAAGUCGGUCCUGCUUCCACAACAAAACGAGGGAUUUAGCAGAUGUGCUAGCUAAACAGCAUGACAGAUCCAAAUAAUGACAACCCAAAUACUCCGCCACCAUGUCAGGUCCUGGCUGAAACAUUCCCAAAAAUGGAAGAUCUUUAUGGGGGGGUGGCUCUUGCAUAAAGCAACAGGUGGCAGUGGUCGACAGAAGCUCACUGUAAUUCCACCAGAAGCAGAGGGUUGUUCUGUAAAAACUCUGAGAGCUCAGUCAGGAGGGGGUAAAGCCACUAUUUACAUAGUGCCACUACAGGAGACAUUAGACACCUCUCCUCUGCCUCCUGACUCGCAGCACUUUUCAAAGAUGCCAAAGAAGACAUGUUAGCAGUGUAAUGAAGUGAUGCCUCUGCAGAUGCUUGCAAUAAAGGAAAAUGACUUUCUGAUGAGAGUGAUGAAGAGCGUGGAAGAUCUAUUACACUUCCUUGAACAACAAGCUGACACCACAACAGAAUUUAAAUUGUGUGUGGACAGAGAAAGCCUUCCAGAGGUAUCCUCCAGUGGCAGAGGAACAAACUGCAUCUGACAUCAGUGCUCUCAAGGUGGUGUACAGAGGAGAGUCAUACAGGAGCACUGAAGAAAGAGUUUGUGACAGAUAUGAUAACAGGUAUCGAAAACAGAUUCUUUGAAGGACCUGGAAGUCAGGGUAAAAAUCCCAGGUACUCUCUGACAGACCUUGAUGAUGAAAACUUCAGAACUGUUGGUGAAAUAAUUGCAGUCAGCCUGGCCCAAGGUGGCCCAGCUCCUGCUUUUUUUUAGGACUGGUGCUACCGUUUCCUGUGCACAGGAGAGGUGGAUUUUAGUAGUUUAUCGAAGGAGGAUGUGGCUGACCAAGAAUCUUCCCUACUCAUCAGCAGAACUGAUUCCAAUGCUUCAACAAGUGAGAAAGGCCAUGGAACUGUAUGUUCUGCUCAGUCAGAGGGCUGCAAACCCUGAAGCUUUACACACUUUACUCAAAAUGCUGAUUUCAUAAUGAUGAACUGCCGACCACAGCUCAGUGAAAAGGGGACAUCUCAGGAGAGAACUGAGAGAUUAUAAACUUCAUGCAAGAUUUUUGCCAGGAGCUUGAAAUAUCAGUGCUGCAGUUGAGGAGCCACUCUCUUGGAGUUCAGCAUGAAGAGCCCACAUUCCCAUCCUCCCUGAUGAAAAGAGACAUUUCAAAAUAAUAUUCAUGUUUGACCACGACUGCAGGGAGC
Acanthochromis polyacanthus (spiny chromis) is the source of this 1818-nucleotide long non-coding RNA. RefSeq lists it as uncharacterized. The transcript is spliced from 9 exons. NCBI's taxonomy places the organism in Eukaryota, Metazoa, Chordata, Actinopteri, Pomacentridae. The record is from RefSeq and is a predicted model, not a curated record.